Molecule: long non-coding RNA, 1905 nt
Organism: Phasianus colchicus (ring-necked pheasant)
Lineage: Eukaryota; Metazoa; Chordata; Aves; Galliformes; Phasianidae
Source: RefSeq, a predicted model, not a curated record
AGAGACUGGGCAAAAAAGAACCUCCUGGAAGGAAGUAUUUUAACCUUCUUAAGCUGUGAUGUUCAAUAUUAAUGUGCAUCUAUCUGAAAAAUGGAAAAUAAAGCCCUGUACUGAAGCCAGAAGAAUAAGAAAAGCCUCUGAAUCACUCUGACCAGUGUACUCAGAGCUUGCAACAGGCUAUCAAUAUUUCCAGGAACUGUAAUUCCAGGAGUUUUUGACUUAUCUUUACUGUAAAAGUGUAGGUCUGUUACAAUUUGUGUCUUUAGUCUGACUGGUCCUGGGGUGGGAGAAGAAGGUGGCAUGUAUGUCUUGAAGCACUGUUGGGAAGGACUGUGAGAAGACUGUGUUUGAUCUGUGUCAGUCAGAAUGGUGCUCUAUGGUAACUGAUUUUUGUGCUACAGUGUUUGCAUGUGGAUGUCACCAAAGGAACACCUGUGAAGUGGAUAGCCCUGCCAGAACCUAGGAAAGGCAGGGUUUGUAGGCCUUUAGGUAUUUGCAAGCUCUUCCACCAAAAAUGCUUAGAAGGGGAAACGGUGAGCACGUGAGGGGCAGGAUGAUGGCAUGUCAACCUCAAUGCCUCAGCUGACAUGGAGAAUGAAUUUAGGUAACAGUGGUCCUGCCUGUGAAUGCUCUUCAAGAAGUCUCAUCCAGGCAUAUGGUGGGGGAAGCUGUUAGAGCCAGCCUGCCAGGAAGAGUAGAGUGCUGGAGAAGUUUGCAUAUUGACAGCUGCUGUCAGAGGAGAGAAGGGACCCAAGUGACUUGCACUGAGCGAGGAAAACGUAGAGGAAGAUGACAAGUGAGAGAAGCAAGGCAUGACAGUACAGAAGUGCAGGGCUUAGUCCUGAUGGUGAUAGCAUCUGGCAUCCUGCAGAUGGGCUUGCUUUCCUCCUUAUACCACAUCUCCUUCUAUAUUCCUCCUUCCACCACCUCAGCUACUCGGUUUUUGUUAGGCAGCAUCUUUGGGCUGGGAAGGAAAAUUAAAUCUCAGUGAAUGACCUCUCAUAAGGAGUAUGUUCCUGCUGAAGGUCAGUGGCUGUACUACAUGUCUGUAUGGAUAACAUGCUGCAUCUCACCAGGAAUAACCCAUCUCUGAGGGUGGCUCUCACUCUCUUCACGUAGUGCUUCAGUUCACAUCUUCACAGAUCGCUUUAGUUUGAUUCUGCAGUUGCAGAGAUCUUCUGUGCUCUGAAACCAAUCUUUUGUUCUCAUGUUGGCCUAAGCUGCGCAGAAGACUAAUGACAGCUCUGCCAGUGUCACUGCCACUGCCUGCCUCCUCUCUGCUCCCUCAGCCCUAUCCAUUCUCUCCAAGAUUAGUUCAGCUUUCAAAUUAAAUGGAAAAAACUUACAGCCUUAAAGGAGAUUGUACAUAUAAUUUAAUGGAAGAGAAAAAUCCAUAAAUCUGCAUUACAGGGCUGCUCAUUACAUUUAAUAGGCUGAUUUUACUGUUACCUCCUUCCCUGAGCAAUGAUUUCUCCAGUUUAUCUCUGUCUUCAAGUUAUAUCUUAUAAAUCCAGUUCAAAAUUUAAGUUCCUUGCAGUAGUUUCUGACCCACCUUAACAUAUGGAUAUGGCGUUCAUCGUGAUAGGGCUCAAGACUUAAAUUGUUUCCUCGUUAGUAAUUAAUCAUCCAGCAAUUGCUUCAACAUCUUAGCUCCUUGACUGCACAAUGCUAUCCUCGCUACAGAAUUGUAUAGCAAAGUUAUAACUACUAAUUAAAUUAUAUAGUGCUCUUCCAAAAGGGAUUUUUCAAGUACAGAAUAAUCACUGCGGGAAAAAUUUCAGACAGAAAUAUAACACACAUCAAAUCAGUGGAAAAAGUAGCAAAGCAUUCUCUAGAGCUCAAGUUCCAAAAUAUUUUUGCCUAUGGAAGUGUCUAUGAAUAAAUCUAUUUAGGUAAUUGGUUUCA